UACCCGGAAGUGAGAAAGAGAAGGAAGUAAAAGCUUGGAAGUGUGGUCACCAAGGAAACGGCAGGAGGGGUGGGAAUAAGGCUAGUGUGAGUCACGUGGUGAGGUUAAACCUGAGAGCACAGGAAGACUGGAGAGACAGGGAAUAAAUCUAUGAUUUCAUAAGCAAACGGAAGUCUAAGGAUCUUUGUCUCCCUGCAGGAGAAUGCAUAUCAAAGGCAUUUGGUUGAACCGUGAUUCAUGGUGAAAGUAACUCAGCGCUGAUUAUUGGCCCUAGGGGAUCAGGAAAGAGCUUGGACGUUAUGGAACUUCUAGAGAAAAGAGUGAAAUCUCGGGUUUUCCCACCGACAGAUUCAUCUGCUCAAUUCCUUCAGUUUCUCCCAGUACCUGCAAAUAUUUCAAGAGAAACUUUCUGUUCCCAGACACUCGGUUUGCUGAGAAAUGGAACAAAAGAAUUAAGCUCCUGGCUGUCUGCCGUGUCAAUGAGUCUCACCCUCAUAUAACUGCGGCAGAAUUCUUGGAAGUCCACCAGGACUCAAAGGCAAAUAUAUUCUGGUACAACUUUUAGAGUAUUGUUUGCUUCCUGGGCCAAUGAUGGAAUCGUGUGGGGGGCUCCACAAGACCCUCUGGAUGAGGACUGUGAUUUAGGCCUGAUGUGAUCCUUUGCCCGACAGAGAUUCUCAAGGCUUCCCAACUGGUAUCUGACUGAUCAGUUAUUGGUCAGGUCUGUCUUUUCUAGCUCUGCCUAAUCAUUGCCAUGAAGCACUUACACGACAUUUAUGAUGGGGAACCUUUUCAUUUCCAGAUGGUGCACAAUGAAUUCCAAAGUUUAUUCAGAGGAAAGUUCACUCUAUCAUUUUGAAUAGCAUGUAGUAAUAAAGGCGUUUGAGCACUUGCACCAGUUACAGCUGAUAAAGCCCAUGGAAAAGCUGAAAGAGAACCGACGCGUGAAGCUUCUACUAGAUAACACUCAAAUUGCAGAAGCACUUCACAAGUACCCCAACUGCCCUACACAUGUGAAACAGUGUCCUCAUUCAGCUGAGGGGAAGGAUCACGGGCAAUUUUGUAUUGAAAUAUCAAUGCACAUCUAAUUUUGUACUUUAUAAUAAACUAUUCCUAAUUAAA
This is a long non-coding RNA of Xenopus laevis (African clawed frog), 1122 nucleotides long. RefSeq lists it as uncharacterized. The transcript is spliced from 9 exons. NCBI's taxonomy places the organism in Eukaryota, Metazoa, Chordata, Amphibia, Anura, Pipidae. The record is from RefSeq and is a predicted model, not a curated record.